Long non-coding RNA from Cyprinus carpio carpio, 556 nucleotides. The record is from Ensembl. Lineage: Eukaryota; Metazoa; Chordata; Actinopteri; Cypriniformes; Cyprinidae.
CCUCAGCAGGCCUGACAUGCACGCUCAGGGGGGGCGACCAACAAUACAGCAAGCCUGCACUGUAAUUAAAGCCUGGUCCAGACGUGAGACCGCGGCUGACACGGCAUGGGAUGGAGCAGAGACCCAGCAGACUGAUAAGGAAAAAGUAAUACAGGUUUGCACUGACAUGAAGAUGAGGUGUGUUCCUUUAAAUUAAUAAGUAUGAAUCUGUUUGGCUGCUGGUUUGAUCGUCAUCCGAAGCGAGUCCUGAGCUCAUCAGUGUCAUGGCCUUGAGCGAGAUACUUAACCUCCAGUUCCUCCAGAGGGACUGAACCUGUAAUAACUUCAUGGCUCUUCUGUGAAUGAUACCACCGUGGUUUCACUCUGGUCCAGCUGAGUGAAUUAACAUGGUCCCAGGCUGCAGAUUAUAUAGCACGUUAACCACUGAAAGAGAUGUGCACCGUUCAGGAAAAAAUCAAUCAAGAUUAGCUUCUCCACCUCUCAAUGGAGCACUGUGAACCUCCUCAGGGGGUAAAGCUCCAAUCCAAGAGCUGAGAGAGAGAGACAGAUACGGUAC